Molecule: long non-coding RNA, 2490 nt
Organism: Passer domesticus (house sparrow)
Lineage: Eukaryota; Metazoa; Chordata; Aves; Passeriformes; Passeridae
Exons: 3
Source: RefSeq, a predicted model, not a curated record
GAAGGAAGGAAGGAAGGAAGGAAAGUUUUGAUAUAUUUUCUUAAAGAGAGUGCAGGAGUUUAAUCACAAGGGAAGGAUGUAAGAGCAGAUGGCCAAAUUAAUAAAAUCCUUUUAAUCUGAAUUGCUCAUGCAAGAAUUGAUGCUGUAUCCUGAAUCAUCUGUUCUGUUUUUGAUGGAUAUUAAGGCUGAUCAGGCCUGCUUUGGACCAAAAACCCAGAAAAAACACCAGGAGCUCACGCCUGUGGCCCACCAGGGCCUGGGACACAACAUUCCAGUACUGGAGGGACUGAGAGACGCUCAGUGAGCCAGGAAACACCCACAGAGGACUCUCUCUGGACUACAGAAGGACUUUCUGAAUUUGCCAUCUCUUAAGAACAGUGAGAGGUUUCAUUGUUUAAUAUUACUCAUCUUUAUAUGCUUGUGAAUACUUUGCUUGUUAAAUUAACAGUUUUCUCCACUUUUCUCAAAGGAGGUUAAUCUCCCGAACAGUUUGGGGGAAGGGCCACUGAAUUUUGCCCUUUAGGGAAUAAUUUUUUGGAAAUUCCCUCCCUAAAUUUGCCCUAAACCAGGACAGUAUGUGUCUGUACAGCUAGAAUUUUGGGGGAAAGCAUACAUCAGAAAUGUUUCAGUUAUAUAAUGUAAUAGAAUUUGUUGCAGUACAAGCUGAUUUGUGCCAAACAUUAAUCCAGCUAUAAAUAAGAAACCCAGCCCAGUUUCAUAAACCAGCCUCUGGGCUGACUGACAUAGGUUUCAACCAAUAACAACUCUCCUAAUUUACAAACAUGUGACUGGUUCAGAGUCUGGGAGGUAUGGGGAUUAGACCAAUGACUGUUUAGAGCUGAGAGCUUUGAAUAGCCCAUAAAAGCAAGCCCCACACAAUAAAACAGGCUGUUUGGCUGAUUAACAAUGGAAGUCUGUCGUGUAUUCUGUGUCAGAUGCAUGAACAUCACGUUUCAGAAUUUAAUAGAUUCCUCUUGCAACUUUGCAUUGCAUUUAAUUUCCAUCAAGUAGCCUAUCACAAUGAUUUUAUCACUGGGGUUGUCUCUAAUACUCUAUAAUACAUCAAGUGUCAUUGGCUGCACUGAGAUUUCAUGGGUCAGCUGAGAUGAAUACUUAUGGAAGUUGAUAAUAAAAAAGAAAUGGAAGUUGAUGAAAAUUAGCAUAGGAGAUGGCUGCCAAGUGCUUUGUAAGGAUAAGAGUCCUUAGAAGGUCAUUCAAAGUCCAUUGGUGUGACAUGAAACAGAUGAAUUGGAGGCGAAUUCACAACUGGGAGACUGGACUCAGUACUUAGCUAGCCAAGGAAAUGCUACUAAAUAUCAUUGAUAAGAAUUGACAUUCACAUCAACAGAAGUCAGCUGUCUGAGUUCAGCUUCAAAAACCACAAUAUUUGAAGGGAGAGAAACAUCCCUGUGGCCAAAUAUACCUUCAAGACUGGCUAUUUCAAACACAUGAACAGGAAAAAGAUGUAACAAUAAUUUUAUUACAACUAAAUGAUUUUUACAUCAAAAACUAAACUCAUAUUAAUAUUUUGUGCCCAUAUUCCAUAACAUUUAUGUGAGACUGUAUUUAUUUUAACAUUACUGAUGUCAUCACUAGCUUUCUUCAUACAUAGUUACAAUAAAAUAUAAGAUGUGAAAGUACAUUAAAACUUCAUGCUAUUCAUCACUCUAAUUUUCAGCAAUAAUUAUUUUCCAUUCAUCUUAGAAAUCUUGUAAUGAUUUCAUUGUCAUGGGUAUGGAAAAGUGUUCAUUACUACUACAUAUUAAAUAAUACUUCUAAUCUUGACAUUCUGAAGUGGUAGUAACUCAAACAUUAACUUAUGGCAGCUUCUUACUCACAGGUUUCUCCAGAAAGCAAAGUUUUGAAAGCAAUUUAAAUUAAAGUAUUAAUAUAUUUAAUUAAAAAAAUAUAUAUUUUACUUAUCUCUUUGAAAUUACAGUUUAUAAUUUUGUAUGCAUAUAAGGUCUGUAUCCUCUUUUCUCCCAAGUUCUUACUUUGUAUUGUUCAUAGCCAGAGUACACCAGUUUUUUAUCCAUUUUCAUUGUCUUUGUAUAAAUACAUAAACUUCAACCACUCAGAUCAGUGAGUUUAACAUUUCCUAGAAUGCAUCAAUCUCUUUCUAUGGAUUCUAGAACACCUAAUGGGAAUUCUAACGUUGGUGUCUUUAGAAGAUUACUCAAUACUACUGAAGUUAAGUGAGGUGAAAACACGGACUAGAGCAAUAGCAACAAGAGAUCUGUGGCAUGAGUUGUUUCCUCCGUGAUCUUAGGAUUCAGUGAUCUUAGACUAAAGCAAGAGUAUCUUAAGUGGGUUAAAAACAUGGUAUCAAUAAAAAGUACAAUAAUUUGUCAGUCAAAUUGAAAAUCAAAAUGAAACAAGUAGAGAAAUACAAGUAUAAGAAAUACUAGAAACAGUAUGGGCUAAAUAGCCAUAAAACAUUAAUCCUUAAAAAACAUGCUAUGAAUUCAAAUCUAACUGUGUAGAUAUAAU